RNAcentral lists this unclassified non-coding RNA (239 nucleotides) under air metagenome. RNAcentral describes it as "partial contains small subunit ribosomal RNA, internal transcribed spacer 1, and 5.8S ribosomal RNA". The stretch from base 1 to 46 matches the Rfam family "Eukaryotic small subunit ribosomal RNA", at positions 1786 to 1831 of the family's 1831-position model. The record is from RNAcentral.
AAGUCGUAACAAGGUUUCCGUAGGUGAACCUGCGGAAGGAUCAUUAAAAGAAAUGCGGCUCGCCGGGGGCCCCAAAAGCCCCCUCCGUGCCAACACGUUCUACCCUGUCUUUUUCGAUACCGUUACCUCCUCCCCGGCGCCCGCGCCGGGCUGGCUACACAACGAACCUUGCAGUUUACAGUCAAUUCAGUUUUUCAAAAAGAAAAUCAAAACUUUCAACAAUGGAUCUCUUGGCUCUG